CCUACGGGUGGCAGCAGUGGGGAAUAUUGCACAAUGGGCGCAAGCCUGAUGCAGCCAUGCCGCGUGUGUGAAGAAGGCCUUCGGGUUGUAAAGCACUUUCAGCGGGGAGGAAGGCGUUAAGGUUAAUAACCUUGUCGAUUGACGUUACCCGCAGAAGAAGCACCGGCUAGCUCCGUGCCAGCAGCCGCGGUAAUACGGAGGGUGCAAGCGUUAAUCGGAAUUACUGGCGUAAAGCGCACGCAGGCGGUCUGUCAAGUCGGAUGUGAAAUCCCCGGGCUCAACCUGGGAACUGCAUUCGAAACUGGCAGGCUAGAGUCUUGUAGAGGGGGGUAGAAUUCCAGGUGUAGCGGUGAAAUGCGUAGAGAUCUGGAGGAAUACCGGUGGCGAAGGCGGCCCCCUGGACAACGACUGACGCUCAGGUGCGAAAGCGUGGGGAGCAAACAGGAUUAGAUACCCGAGUAGUC
RNAcentral lists this ribosomal RNA (464 nucleotides) under uncultured Klebsiella sp. RNAcentral's name for it is "bacterial SSU rRNA". It matches the Rfam family "Bacterial small subunit ribosomal RNA", at positions 338 to 795 of the family's 1533-position model. Lineage: Bacteria; Pseudomonadati; Pseudomonadota; Gammaproteobacteria; Enterobacterales; Enterobacteriaceae. The record is from RNAcentral.